GGGCCCGUAGUUCAGCUGGGAGAAUGCCGCAUUCGCAUUGCGGAGGUCAGCGGUUCAAAUCCGCUCGGGUCCACCA
RNAcentral lists this transfer RNA (76 nucleotides) under Candidatus Omnitrophota bacterium. RNAcentral's name for it is "tRNA-Ala". It matches the Rfam family "tRNA". Rfam says of the family: Transfer RNA (tRNA) molecules are approximately 80 nucleotides in length. Their secondary structure includes four short double-helical elements and three loops (D, anti-codon, and T loops). Lineage: Bacteria; Pseudomonadati; Candidatus Omnitrophota. RNAcentral also lists the same sequence under 1 other name. The record is from RNAcentral.